Long non-coding RNA from Alligator sinensis (Chinese alligator), 335 nucleotides. RefSeq lists it as uncharacterized. NCBI's taxonomy places the organism in Eukaryota, Metazoa, Chordata, Crocodylia, Alligatoridae. The transcript is spliced from 3 exons. The record is from RefSeq and is a predicted model, not a curated record.
AGGAGUGUGUGUGAAAGCUCCACAGAGAGGCUGGGUGAGUGGUCCAAAGGCUGAAGGAACUACUGAGGAACUCAGAGAAGCAGCUGCAACCCCAGAGGAAGGAUGGGAACCAACGAUGGGGAGCAGAAGCAUGACCCCUGAUGGUGUGCUGGUAGCUGUUUGCUUAUCACAGAGACUUGAAUCUCUAACUGUGGACCAGGAACCCAUUGUACAAACACAGAAGAACUAAUUAAUCUUUGUCCCAAGACAGCUUACAAUAUAAGCAUAAGGCUAACCUGGAGAUCUGAGAGAUGGUUUGCUGAUCACAGAGUCCGCUUCUGAAACCAACAGCCACA